AAGAUUUAUUAAAACGACAACAAAUUGAGAGUUCAUUUAACAAUUCAUUGGUGUUCAUUAUUAAUUCAUUGUUAAAGACAAUAAUUGAGAGCUAUUUGAAGUUAUUCUAUAAUGCAUGGUACAUGGUCUAUGUGGAAUGCAAAAUCCUCAAGCGCCUUGCAUGGAAGAUGGUCGUUGUAUAAAGAAGUAUCUAAAGGUAUUUGUAGAAGAAACAACAAUAGAUGCCAAU
This 229-nucleotide long non-coding RNA is filed under the name Physcomitrium patens. RNAcentral describes it as "long non-coding RNA (PPAT_LNC014770)". Lineage: Eukaryota; Viridiplantae; Streptophyta; Bryopsida; Funariales; Funariaceae. The record is from RNAcentral.